UGGGGGAUAUUGCACAAUGGGCGAAAGCCUGAUGCAGCGACGCCGCGUGGGGGAUGAAGGCCUUCGGGUUGUAAACUUCUUUUGCUCUGAACAAGGCAUGCCUUUGGGGUGUGUUGAGUGUAGGGGUUGAUUAGCGCCGGCUAACUACGUGCCAGCAGCCGCGGUAAUACGUAGGGCGCGAGCGUUGUCCGGAAUUAUUGGGCGUAAAGGGCUUGUAGGUGGCUGGUUGCGUCUGUCGUGAAAGCUCAUGGCUUAACUGUGGGUUUGCGGUGGGUACGGGCUGGCUUGAGUGCAGUAGGGGAGGCUGGACUUCCUGGUGUAGCGGUGGAAUGCGCAGAUAUCAGGAGGAAUACCGGUGGCGAAGGCGGGUCUCUGGGCUGUUACUGACGCUGAGGAGCGAGAGCGUGGGGAGCGAACAGG
This 420-nucleotide ribosomal RNA is filed under the name Fusobacteriota bacterium. RNAcentral's name for it is "Fusobacteria bacterium partial 16S ribosomal RNA". It matches the Rfam family "Bacterial small subunit ribosomal RNA", at positions 355 to 776 of the family's 1533-position model. The record is from RNAcentral. Lineage: Bacteria; Fusobacteriati; Fusobacteriota.